GCCUUCAGGGUGCAGUGGUCAGCACGCUGGGUGUGAAUUCCAGAGGUCCGUGGUUCGAGUCCCGGCGAAGGCG
RNAcentral lists this transfer RNA (73 nucleotides) under Stegodyphus mimosarum. It matches the Rfam family "tRNA". Rfam says of the family: Transfer RNA (tRNA) molecules are approximately 80 nucleotides in length. Their secondary structure includes four short double-helical elements and three loops (D, anti-codon, and T loops). Further hydrogen bonds mediate the characteristic L-shaped molecular structure. tRNAs have two regions of fundamental functional importance: the anti-codon, which is responsible for specific mRNA codon recognition, and the 3' end, to which the tRNAs corresponding amino acid is attached (by aminoacyl-tRNA synthetases). tRNAs cope with the degeneracy of the genetic code in two manners: having more than one tRNA (with a specific anti-codon) for a particular amino acid; and 'wobble' base-pairing, i.e. permitting non-standard base-pairing at the 3rd anti-codon position. Lineage: Eukaryota; Metazoa; Arthropoda; Arachnida; Araneae; Eresidae. The record is from Rfam by way of RNAcentral.